Molecule: ribosomal RNA, 253 nt
Filed under: uncultured bacterium
Lineage: Bacteria
Description: partial 16S ribosomal RNA
Rfam family: Bacterial small subunit ribosomal RNA
Source: RNAcentral
UACGUAGGUGGCAAGCGUUGUCCGGAUUUACUGGGCGUAAAGAGCGCGCAGGCGGUCGAAUAAGUCGAAUGUGAAAGCCCCCGGCUUAACUGGGGAGGGUCAUUCGAUACUGUUCGACUUGAAGGCAGGAGAGGGCAGCAGAAUUCCCGGUGUAGUGGUGAAAUGCGUAGAUAUCUGGAGGAACACCGGUGGCGAAGGCGGCAUCCUGGACCAACACUGACGCUGAGGAGCGAAAGCCAGGGGAGCAAACGGG